Molecule: non-coding RNA, 88 nt
Organism: Coniochaeta pulveracea
Lineage: Eukaryota; Fungi; Ascomycota; Sordariomycetes; Coniochaetales; Coniochaetaceae
Source: the annotation of a GenBank genome assembly
GGUUCUGUGGUCUAGUGGUUAUGACUGUUCGUUGUGGAAUGUCUUGUCCGAUUCCGAACCAGCCCGUGUUCGAUUCACGGCAGAGCCA